ACGCAUCAUUCGGCGUCCAACGAGCCAUCAUCGAGGAACCCGACAUUUGCUGCUAAGCAUUGAGCAGGAGAGGAUUGUCACUAUGCUUUCUAAAUUCAUCGUCCUUUGUGUGGUUUUAGGCGUUGUGAGCAGCUCUCGGAAAGCUACAGGCUGGCCCAAGCUGUGCAAAACGGAUGCUGACUGCUCGCAUUACUUUCCCUACUGCGGGGAGGGCAAAUGUCGCCCGGUUACAACAUUCUGCAUUUCCGGCGAACGCGGCGUUGCCGGAUGUAACACAUGUAAAUGCGUACGUCACGGCUGGGCUUGUACAAAAAUUU
Pollicipes pollicipes is the source of this 317-nucleotide long non-coding RNA. RefSeq lists it as uncharacterized. The transcript has 3 exons. Lineage: Eukaryota; Metazoa; Arthropoda; Thecostraca; Pollicipedomorpha; Pollicipedidae. The record is from RefSeq and is a predicted model, not a curated record.